RNAcentral lists this small nuclear RNA (122 nucleotides) under Cryptosporidium parvum. It matches the Rfam family "U5 spliceosomal RNA". From Rfam's summary of the family: U5 RNA is a component of both types of known spliceosome. The precise function of this molecule is unknown, though it is known that the 5' loop is required for splice site selection and p220 binding, and that both the 3' stem-loop and the Sm site are important for Sm protein binding and cap methylation. Lineage: Eukaryota; Apicomplexa; Conoidasida; Eucoccidiorida; Cryptosporidiidae. The record is from RNAcentral.
UUACACCGUACUGAUGUGAUAUCUCGUACCAAUCUUUCGCCUUUUACUAAAGAUUGCCGUGUCACAUCAGCUUGGUAGUUAUUACCAGGUCAUAAUAUUUGGGGAGUUUCUACACUCCGACA